CGGACCGGCGCACGGGUGAAUAACGCGUAUGCAACCUGCCUGAUACCGGGGUAUAGCCCAUGGAAACGUGGAUUAACACCCCAUAGUACUUUUAUUCCUGCAUGGGAUGUGAGUUAAAUGUUCAAGGUAUCGGAUGGGCAUGCGUCCUAUUAGUUAGUUGGCGGGGUAACAGCCCACCAAGACGAUGAUAGGUAGGGGUUCUGAGAGGAAGGUCCCCCACAUUGGAACUGAGACACGGUCCAA
This 243-nucleotide ribosomal RNA is filed under the name uncultured bacterium. RNAcentral's name for it is "partial 16S ribosomal RNA". It matches the Rfam family "Bacterial small subunit ribosomal RNA", at positions 91 to 334 of the family's 1533-position model. The record is from RNAcentral.